RNAcentral lists this unclassified non-coding RNA (359 nucleotides) under uncultured fungus. RNAcentral describes it as "partial contains small subunit ribosomal RNA, internal transcribed spacer 1, and 5.8S ribosomal RNA". The stretch from base 1 to 73 matches the Rfam family "Eukaryotic small subunit ribosomal RNA", at positions 1759 to 1831 of the family's 1831-position model. Lineage: Eukaryota; Fungi. The record is from RNAcentral.
GCAAACUUGGUCAUUUAGAGGAAGUAAAAGUCGUAACAAGGUUUCCGUAGGUGAACCUGCGGAAGGAUCAUUACUGAAGAAAUGAUAGGGCUUGAGCUGACUCUGCGGAGUAUGUGCUUGCACUAUCGCUUUUUCUAUUCUCCCUUGUGAACCUUUUGUAGACUUUUAUGAUAUUGACUUAGGUCAUUUGAAACUCGCAUCCUAAUGCUUGAUUCUACUCUUAUCAUAUUGGUCUAUGAUUUUUACAUAUCUACUCUUCAGUUUAUGAAUGUCUCUUUGUUGGUUUUGAAUACCAAUAAAUUGUUUGUACAACUUUCAGCAACGGAUCUCUUGGCUCUCGCAUCGAUGAAGAACGCAGC